CUGGAUGGUCAUCACCAAAAAGCCAGUGCAAUGCUUCAUGAUUUACUGUAAUAUCAUCAGAACACAGCAAAAAUACAUCAAAUUAAACACCUACGAAAAAAAGCCAGACUAAUGAAGUUGGAGAGCAUUCAGACUCCUCUGAAGUUCAUUCCUGAGACCUGUUAGUCUCCAAGACAGAAAGCAAGCAGGAGGGAGAAAGUGGCUAAGACAAGUCUGAGGAAGGAGAAAUCAUAACUAAGAAGAAAAAAAGGAGGAUAAUAUUUUCAAGAUGGAAAAGUUAACAGCUUUCAAAAGAGACAGUGCUGUUCUCAGCCUUGUCCAAAGCUCUGAACAAAGUCAGCAACCAGUUAUGAGGAUGCAGCCGCAGUUCCUGUUUCGCUGGCACCAGGGGUAUGAGUCAGAAGUGGCCACACUGAGACUGUUAUAAGAGCACUGGCCGGUAGGAAUGACAUCUGAAGCACAACAGGAGAGGUCCAAGGACUACUCCCAGAGCCAAGAAAAUCUCCCACCUCCCCAUGCCGUAUGCUACUGAGAUAGCAGUUUGUAUCAUCGGCCAAAGGAUAACACAUUUAAAUGUAUGCAAGGAGCCUUAUAAGGGCAUUAACACUUGCCUCCAGGAUGGACGUCACGAUGGCGAGCCAAGGAAGAGGCGCCAAUAAUAGAUUCCUUGUGUUUGUACGUGC
Long non-coding RNA from Pipra filicauda (Wire-tailed manakin), 683 nucleotides. RefSeq lists it as uncharacterized. NCBI's taxonomy places the organism in Eukaryota, Metazoa, Chordata, Aves, Passeriformes, Pipridae. The transcript has 5 exons. The record is from RefSeq and is a predicted model, not a curated record.